AGUGAACGCUGGCGGUAGGCCUAACACAUGCAAGUCGAACGGCAGCACAGUAAGAGCUUGCUCUUACGGGUGGCGAGUGGCGGGCGGGUGAGGAAUACAUCGGAAUCUACUUUUUCGUAGGGGAUAACGUAGGGAAACUUACGCUAAUACCGCAUACGACCUACGGGUGAAAGCAGGGGAUCUUCGGACCUUGCGCGAUUGAAUGAGCCGAUGUCGGAUUAGCUAGUUGGCGGGGUAAAGGCCCACCAAGGCGACGAUCCGUAGCUGGUCUGAGAGGAUGAUCAGCCACACUGGAACUGAGACACGGUCCAGACUCCUACGGGAGGCAGCAGUGGGGAAUAUUGGACAAUGGGCGCAAGCCUGAUCCAGCCAUACCGCGUGGGUGAAGAAGGCCUUCGGGUUGUAAAGCCCUUUUGUUGGGAAAGAAAAGCAGCAGGUUAAUACCCCGCUGUUCUGACGGUACCCAAAGAAUAAGCACCGGCUAACUUCGUG
RNAcentral lists this ribosomal RNA (492 nucleotides) under uncultured bacterium. RNAcentral describes it as "partial 16S ribosomal RNA". It matches the Rfam family "Bacterial small subunit ribosomal RNA", at positions 29 to 507 of the family's 1533-position model. The record is from RNAcentral.